Molecule: long non-coding RNA, 394 nt
Organism: Bombus terrestris (buff-tailed bumblebee)
Lineage: Eukaryota; Metazoa; Arthropoda; Insecta; Hymenoptera; Apidae
Exons: 3
Source: RefSeq, a predicted model, not a curated record
GUGUAUCUUCCGAUGCCUCGCCCAAGGAUGAGCAAUCUGCUAACGGUGGGAAGAGGAAAACGAAAACCAUAGAUGUUUCCAAUGAUUGAAAACACCGUGAUCACUGGUCGAUACAGAGAAUAAUUGUCGUGAAUUCAAAAUGUUCGAAUGAAAUUUUAUGUGAGUUAUUUACUUGAUACUUCUAUCUGUCAACUAUAGCUGCCGACGGAUACUUUCGUUUGAAGACAACUUUGUUCAAUUAAAAGUUAAAAAAGAAAGGAAGAGGGUGUACAAUUUCGAAUCUCCUACCUUGUUUGAUUUGUGGAGUCGAUCAGGUGUGAGUAUGGUUUGGCGAUGAAUCGGUUUUAACAAUUAAAUUUUGUUUCGCGAUUAGUUACUCGAUGUUUCGGAUUUU